UGGGGAAUAUUGGACAAUGGGGGCAACCCUGAUCCAGCGACGCCGCGUGUGUGAAGAAGGCCUGCGGGUUGUAAAGCACUUUUAGUGGGGAUGAAAAGCACAUUGCUAAUACCAGUGUGUCUUGACCUAACCCAAAGAAAAAGCACCGGCUAACUCUGUGCCAGCAGCCGCGGUAAUACAGAGGGUGCGAGCGUUAAUCGGAAUUACUGGGCGUAAAGCGUGCGUAGACGGUUAUUUAAGUCGGGUGUGAAAGCCCCGGGCUCAACCUGGGAAUUGCAUUCGAGACUGAAUAGCUAGGGUACGGUAGAGGGAAGUGGAAUUUCCGGUGUAGCGGUGAAAUGCGUAGAUAUCGGAAGGAACAUCAGUGGCGAAAGCGACUUCCUGGACCAGUACCGACGUUCAGGCACGAAAGCGUGGGGAGCAAACAGG
This 429-nucleotide ribosomal RNA is filed under the name uncultured bacterium. RNAcentral describes it as "bacterial SSU rRNA". It matches the Rfam family "Bacterial small subunit ribosomal RNA", at positions 355 to 776 of the family's 1533-position model. RNAcentral also lists the same sequence under 2 other names. The record is from RNAcentral.